CUAAGCAACCUGGGCAGCUGGCUAUGAGGAAGCAGGUUCCAGCCCUGUCUCUGCCAAAGAGUUUCUGGCUGCUCUCUUUAGUGUGUAGUUGCUAAACCUGUGCACCUGCCAUGGAGGAGGUCAAUGAGAAAUCCUGGCUCUUGUUUCAGUGCCCUAGGGACAUGGGAAUGCUUUUGGGGAGUUUUGUACUUGCAUCACUUGCAUCUGCGCUGUCCUUGGUAAAUGUGUUUGAGUUCCAAGAGGUUAGAGUCAGGAGUACUUGUGCUGCUUGGAAGGACAUUUCCUACAUGGAACAGUCAGUGAGCUUGGGCUUGAAGCCUGAGCUUUGAGUUAUCCACUCACAAGUCUAUCAGCGCUUGGGAAUUCUGACUGAAGUUAUGUCAAAGCGCUGUGUGUGUGGUGACACGCAUACUGACCUAUGUGUGCACAUGAGGAAGACCUCCAGAGCUGCGUCUGCUUCAGACGUGGCACUGAUGUCACCCCACGGAUGUUGCCUCGCUGUGGACAACGCAGUGGAUCAAAGUUGGUGUUAUUUCUUCUGUGGAGCACGGGGACCUCAAGGAUGGCUCUGGUGCAGCUGGCGCUCCCACGGCGGGCAACCACAGCCCGUGCCAGCCCUCUGCCCAACGUGCCUUCAUACCGCGGGGGUCAGAUUGGGCCGAGGCAGGUCCUAGGUGAGUGCUCCCACUGCUGAGCCUGCAGCUUGGUCACCAGCACCCUCCAGCCAGCCACAUAAACAUCACCCACCGGGCUCUGCUGCCCAUCCCCUGCUCCCCCAGCCAAGGGUCACGAGCUGCAGCCAGCAGUCGGCUGACAAACGCGGCCGUGGCUCUGUGCAGCCAGCCUGCGAGAGGUCGUCACACGCCUCCUUAAGCAAACAGGGAUCCACGCCAGUUGAUAAAUCAUUUACGAGGAGAAGUCAGAAGCAAGGAACUAGAUUAACCAGGUCACUGGGUGUCCUGAGGGAAUGACGUGUCAGUGGAGCUGAAACAGCAGAUCCCGCAGUUGCAAUAUGUUGCCUUCUUCUGUCCUGACAGCAAUUCAUGGAAAUCCCUGGAACUAGACACUAGUGAUGGAAAAAUCCAUUAGCUCAUCCAAGUCAGCUUGCUAGUUAAAGCAGUCACUCCCAUUGUGCAUUUUUUGGCAGAGUUAAAAUGUCUCAAGAGAGGGGAUUUCCACCAGUUCCUUCUCAAGGGGAAACUAUUCCACCUAUCGGGAAAGCUGCCUCCAGUGGUGCUAUUUUUGUAAAAGAGAAGUAACUCCAAGCCCGAAAGGGAAAACAGAAAGGUUCUGAUGCAGAAACACAGACAGCAGUAGUUAGCUUUCCCUAGCAGACAUGUGCCAUGCACAGCACAUCUGCAAUGGGAACACCAGGGGCCCACGUGUGUUUAUAUACAUCCACCUAGGUGUGUUUGUGUGUAUGCACAGCCUGCCUCUCCUUCUUCAGGCAGAUUAUGACCUUGUGCCUCCCUGGAUAAUCGACGUGUCGUAUCGUGAUCUCACAACCAGUUUACACUUAUGUAAUGCCACUGGCAUCAAGGCGAAAAAAACUGCUAAAUUGCUUUGAGGAGGGGACAGAUGCGUGAAAAAAGAAAGGCAUCAGCUGAUGCUGCUCCUCUGGCACACGCUUCCUGUCUGCAUGGGGACAUGGCAUGUCCCUUAGGGGCCUCAGUUCCCCAGCUGUGUGCCAGGCACAGCGACCACCCUCCUGGGGUCUUGUGGCUGAAUGCAACCACUGGCAGCACCCUGCCUGCAGCAGUUGGGAAGGUGCUGCAGCGCAGAGAUAUGUUGAUGAGGCUUGUCAGCAGAGGCUAUGGAGAUUUUGGCAAACAGGAUUUCAGCACCUGGGAAGCACUGUGGGACAGUGGAGAAAUAAAUGAGCUGUGUGAUUGUGAUGGCAUUUAAGGCCUUAUCAUUAGUUUCAGAGCAAGUUCUGCAUUCAGAUGAAUGGGUGUAGCACUCAUUGCUGAGCUAGAACCUGUAGAGAUAGGGAGGAUUGCUCUGUGCUCCCAUUCAGAAAGCUCUCAGCCAGCAGAGCUGUAACUUGCAGUCCUGGUGCCUCAGCUCAGGAGCAGGGCUCUGCAGCUAGGGUAGAUACAAUGGCUAUAUUAGCAGCAAACAAACCCCACAUUAUCAAGGGCCCUGAUUACCAGUGUGAUGGGGUGUUGGCUAUAUGCCUCUUAUGAGAAGAAGGCGGGGUACUGCCUGGGUGUUUGCCCUGGAUUCUCAAUUAGUUGUUUUAUGUACCUCUCAAAACCUCACUGCUGGCACUGCUGCCUUCUCCUUCUAGGAGACCUGACAUUCAGGCACCAUGUUUUGCACAGAUUUGUCAGCCACAUACCCAUCAGUUACGUUGAGGCUGCUCUUGUGAGCACCCUCUGCAUGUUAUUGCAGGGUGGCUCGUGAAUUCUAUGCCGUGCAACCCUGGCUUUGGGAUGGGUGUGCUGCUUUGCAGGGCUCUACUUUGUUUAGCACAAGCCACAUUGAAGCACAAAUGACAUCUGUGAGGACUGACAUGGUGUGGAAAGGGACCUAAUCAAAAAAGCACGGGUCAAAUCCUGGGCCUUGGCUGGGUCCCUUUAAUUGCUGUAAAGUCUGAGUGCCAGUUGACCUACUGAGCCCCUUGCCCCUUGCACCGUGCAGGGAUAAGAGCAGGUAAAGCCCGGUAACAGUUUAACUAUGAGAUUAACUCUGCCAGUGCCACUAUUGAGGGCCCUCUGUUUCUCCAGACAAAAGGUGCUGACUCCAGGCUCCCCAGCACGUUGGCCCAUGUUCUCCAUCUCCUUCACCCACACCCUGCAGUUCCAGCCUGACCCUCGGCGAAGGCAGGGAACCUCGGCUCUGUAGCCUUAGGUGCUACUGCCUGAAAGACGGCCAGAGAAAGAGCCAUCUUCCUCUCCAUUCCACUACAUCUACAAGGUCCCAGUGCUCUGCAGAACCACACACCAAGGUAGGAUGAGAUGCAGGGAGGCCUGUGAACAGUCCAGGUGCUCGGUUGUCUAUCCUUCAUGCUCCUAAGCACCACUGAAACCCUGGUUUCUCAUGCUUUGAAUUUCAUGGGUGUUUGGCUGUGCAGGACCAGGCUCCUGAACUGUCCCAAAGCCCACAGAUGACAAAGAGGUUCCUUCUUUGGGCUUCACUGUGGCAGUGAAUGGUUUUGCAGCUGGCUAGGCAAGAGGCAGCUAGGUGCAAGCUUAAUGAGGAUGACCUGCCUCAAAGGUUUCAUUUAGAAGAAGAAAGUACCAAGUGUUUUACUUAAAAAUGAACAGAUGUGUAGAGCGAAUUCUACCCUCCCCUCGGGUAUGGUGAAUCUGAUCACAGCGCAUCCUGCCCAGACCUGAGAACAGACAGACAGACAGACCUGUGUCACAAAGUGGAACAGACUGAUGUGAACUCACCCGCACCAAGCUGGGGACGAGUGAAACCAUGCUCGUGCAGACAGCAUGGAAAGCAAGCAGAGGUGAUAAGGAGCGGGGGUGUUAGUUGUUGUUCUUGAUUCUGCGUGGGAGAGAGGAGCAAUAUUGAUGAAGACUGUAAACAGCAAUAGGUGUCACCCAGUAAUGGCAACAUACAGCCCUGAAUGUACAGCUGCCAUUAGGCACCGAGUGCCUCUCUGCUGAACUCUCGCACCAAGGGCAGCUUGGCUUCCAACAAGCGCCCAGCACUCCCAAGAGGCAGCACCCCCUGAGAACCGGGCUGCAGUCCUGAUGACCGUGUGCUGUGAGAGCCGUCUGCACCAGUGAGACAAAUACUUUCCUUUCACUGCUUCACAGAACUACGUUUCUCUUAGUUACUUGCACCGAGUGUGUGGGGCUGCACUAAUGCAGGCCUGGCUGAGAAGGGGAAACAGGAAUAGGGAUGGAGACAGAGACAGGGCCAGGGCCAGCCCUGCCCAGCACGCAGAUCGAGGCAGGUCCUCACAGUGCAGUGGAGCUGACCGACACCCCGGUGCAGUGUGUGUGUACCGUGUGAUGUGGUUGAGCAGCACACAGUCAUGUUCAGCUGCCUGCCCUGUUAUUGUGAGCAGCCUUGUGCUAGUUUCAGGCGUAAUAACAUCGUGACAUAACAGCACACCAUGCUGUGAUGACACCAGCACACGGAGUAAGCCACGGUGAUCUGAUCUCAUUCUGUACAUGCUGAGAUGCACACUGAUGGCUCCCAGGAUAUGUGGGCGGCAGGUGGAUGGGGCUGGCACGUCCCAGCACCAGGUGGGAACAUGACUCCUGGCAAUGUCAGGGCUGGGAGCUCGGCUCUGCAGCUCCAGCUCUGCCUCAACUGCGGCCGAUGAGUCACUGCACCUCUCUGUGCUCACUUCUUCCAUCUGUGGAAAGGUGACAAUAACAUUUCCUCACCUUACAGGGGGUGGGAGGUGUGUGCAAGGAUGAAUGAAUGUUUACAAAGCACCUCUGAGCAGCACAGGCUGGUUGGACUGUGACUGGGAGGAACCAGCGCUCGCUCUCCACAUUGCUCCUUCCUCCAGGCGAGGUGUCCUCAAGUAAACACUUCCCUCAGAGUCAACAGUCUUCAAUGAGCACAAAUGAGAUAAUUCCUCAGGAGAGAAACAGUGAAGAGUCAGCGCGCUGCCAGUAAUUUCAAUAAAUUCUGUCACAGGAACAGCGGAGUAACCUUUACAAGAGAAAAAAAGAAUAAAGUAGAAAAACAAA
Molecule: long non-coding RNA, 4664 nt
Organism: Centrocercus urophasianus (Greater sage-grouse)
Lineage: Eukaryota; Metazoa; Chordata; Aves; Galliformes; Phasianidae
Exons: 2
Source: RefSeq, a predicted model, not a curated record